GUGCUCGCUUGGGCAGCACAUACACUAAAAUUGGAACCAUACAGAGAAGAUUAGCAUGGCCCCUGUGCAAGGAUGACACGCAAAUUUGUGAAGCAUUACAUAUUUAA
This is a small nuclear RNA of Mirounga angustirostris (Northern elephant seal), 107 nucleotides long. NCBI's taxonomy places the organism in Eukaryota, Metazoa, Chordata, Mammalia, Carnivora, Phocidae. The record is from RefSeq and is a predicted model, not a curated record.